This 375-nucleotide ribosomal RNA is filed under the name uncultured organism. RNAcentral describes it as "bacterial SSU rRNA". It matches the Rfam family "Archaeal small subunit ribosomal RNA", at positions 476 to 851 of the family's 1478-position model. The record is from RNAcentral.
CCAGCACCCCGAGUGGUCGGGACGAUUAUUGGGCCUAAAGCAUCCGUAGCCGGUUCUACAAGUCUUCCGUUAAAUCCACCUGCUUAACAGAUGGGCUGCGGAGGAUACUAUGGAGCUAGGAGGCGGGAGAGGCAAGCGGUACUUAGUGGGAAGGGGUAAAAUCCGUUGAUCCAUUGAAGACCACCAGUGGCGAAGGCGGCUUGCCAGAACGCACUCGACGGUGAGGGAUGAAAGCUGGGGGAGCAAACCGGAUUAGAUACCCGGGUAGUCCCAGCUGUAAACGAUGCAGACUCGGUGAUGAAUAGGCUUCGUGCCUAUUCAGUGCCGCAGGGAAGCCGUUAAGUCUGCCGCCUGGGGAGUACGGUCGCAAGACUG